This 252-nucleotide ribosomal RNA is filed under the name uncultured bacterium. Its description in RNAcentral is "partial 16S ribosomal RNA". It matches the Rfam family "Bacterial small subunit ribosomal RNA", at positions 524 to 776 of the family's 1533-position model. The record is from RNAcentral.
UACGUAGGGGGCUAGCGUUAUCCGGAAUUACUGGGCGUAAAGGGUGCGUAGGUGGUUUCUUAAGUCAGAGGUGAAAGGCUACGGCUCAACCGUAGUAAACCUUUGGAACUGGGAAACUUGAGUGCAGGAGAGGAGAGUGGAAUUCCUAGUGUAGCGGUGAAAUGCGUAGAUAUUAGGAGGAACACCAGUUGCGAAGGCGGCUCUCUGGACUGUAACUGACACUGAGGCACGAAAGCGUGGGGAGCAAACAGG